GGGGAGGUAAUCCCGUAAACCCCGCCCCAGUAGGGAUCGAGGGCUGCAACUCGCCCUCGUGAACGUGGAAUCCCUAGUAACCGCGUGUCACCAACGCGCGGUGAAUACGUCCCUGCCCCUUGCACACACCGCCCGUCGCGCCACCCGAGGGAGCCCCCAACGAGGCUCCUUCAUCCUUGGGUUACCCCAAGGAUGGGGGAGACGAGUUGGGGGCUCCCGAGGGGGGCGAAGUCGUAACAAGGUGGCCGUAGGGGAACCUGCGGCCGGAUCACCUCCU
RNAcentral lists this ribosomal RNA (277 nucleotides) under Vulcanisaeta sp. RNAcentral describes it as "partial 16S ribosomal RNA". It matches the Rfam family "Eukaryotic small subunit ribosomal RNA", at positions 1540 to 1831 of the family's 1831-position model. Lineage: Archaea; Thermoproteati; Thermoproteota; Thermoprotei; Thermoproteales; Thermoproteaceae. The record is from RNAcentral.